RNAcentral lists this ribosomal RNA (498 nucleotides) under uncultured bacterium. RNAcentral's name for it is "partial 16S ribosomal RNA". It matches the Rfam family "Bacterial small subunit ribosomal RNA", at positions 30 to 523 of the family's 1533-position model. The record is from RNAcentral.
AUUGAACGCUGGCGGCAGGCCUAACACAUGCAAGUCGAGCGGUUGAGGUAGCUUGCUACCGAUGCAGCGGCGGACGGGUGAGUAAUACAUGGGAAUCUGCCUGGUAGUGGGGGACAACGUUUCGAAAGGAACGCUAAUACCGCAUACGCCCUACGGGGGAGAGGGGGGGAUCUUCGGACCUCUCGCUAUCAGAUGAGCCCAUGUCGGAUUAGCUUGUUGGUGAGGUAAAGGCUCACCAAGGCGACGAUCCGUAACUGGUCUGAGAGGAUGAUCAGUCACACUGGAAGUGAGACACGGUCCAGACUCCUACGGGAGGCAGCAGUGGGGAAUAUUGGACAAUGGGCGCAAGCCUGAUCCAGCCAUGCCGCGUGUGUGAAGAAGGCCUUAGGGUUGUAAAGCACUUUCAGUGGGGAGAAAGGUCAUUCACCUAAUACGUGAGUGAAUUGAUGUUACCCACAGAAGAAGCACCGGCUAACUCCGUGCCAGCAGCCGCCGCCG